UUUAAAAAGUGCUUAUUACCUGUCAUAUAAAAUGACGACAAACUUUUCGAUUACUGUAAACGCCUCGCUAGUACUCCCCUCAUAUGCUGCCAGAAACCCUUCUGUGGCAUUGGGAAAUGCGUUCCAUGCAUCUAUUGCACUUUUUUUUCCUUUCCCGUUAAAAUAGGACACAGUAUCACAACCUGUGAAGGCAUGGAACAGGGGGAGGACUUUCGCUUUUUGUGGCCCUGUAAAAGAAAAUAAUAUGUUUUAUAUAGCCCGCCUAGCGUUAUAGUCUCAGUGCAUUCUAUUCUAUUCUAGCUAGUGGCUAGGGCGUAACGUAGAUAAAUACAAUUUAUAAUUAUUUUUUACCUAGAGUUUUUGCUAUUUCGUGACAAGGAAGAUACUGGUGGUGUUUACCAGUACCUACGUGUACCCACAGCUCUUCUAGCUCAGGUACUAGGCGGGCUAUAUAAAACAUAUUAUUUUCUUUUACAGGGCCACAAAAAGCGAAAGUCCUCCCCCUGUUCCAUGCCUUCACAGGUUGUGAUACUGUGUCCUAUUUUAACGGGAAAGGAAAAAAAAGUGCAAUAGAUGCAUGGAACGCAUUUCCCAAUGCCACAGAAGGGUUUCUGGCAGCAUAUGAGGGGAGUACUAGCGAGGCGUUUACAGUAAUCGAAAAGUUUGUCGUCAUUUUAUAUGACAGAGCCAGUUCAUUUACAACCGUAAACGAAGCCCGAAAGCACCUAUUCUCGAAAAAAGACCGCCAAUUGGAGAAUAUACCUCCGACGAAAGCUGCUCUAUACCAGCAUUUCCUGCGGGCAGUGUUCCAAGCAGUCCAUGUAUGGGGUCAGAUGUCACCGAAUCAAAAUCUUCCCUGUCCAUCUAACUGGGGAUGGAGAAAAGUCAGUGAAAGCUGGCAACCUACAUGGACAGACUUGCCCGUAGCUGCAGAUGCAUGCCUGGAAAUGAUCCGGUGCAGAUGCAAAAAGAGGUGCGGCGGCUCGAGGUGCCGGUGCUUUCAGCGGCAAUUUAAGUGCACGGAGCUUUGCGAUUGUGGGGGACAAUGUAAAUAAUAAACAUUUUUAAGUAAAAUUCUA
Molecule: long non-coding RNA, 1079 nt
Organism: Cydia pomonella (codling moth)
Lineage: Eukaryota; Metazoa; Arthropoda; Insecta; Lepidoptera; Tortricidae
Exons: 2
Source: RefSeq, a predicted model, not a curated record